Molecule: ribosomal RNA, 632 nt
Filed under: uncultured bacterium
Lineage: Bacteria
Description: bacterial SSU rRNA
Rfam family: Bacterial small subunit ribosomal RNA
Source: RNAcentral
AACGAACGCUGGCGGCGUGGAUAAGACAUGCAAGUCGAACGAGGUGCAACAUUUCGGUGUAGCAUUUAGUGGCGAACGGGUGAGUAACACGUGAGUGACCUGCCUCUAAGUUGGGGAUAGCCCUGGGAAACCGGGAUUAAUACCCGAUAGGCUCGAAAGAGUAAAGGAGAAAUCCGCUUAGAGAGGGGCUCGCGUCCUAUUAGUUAGUUGGUGAGGUAAUGGCUCACCAAGGCGAUGACGGGUAGCCGGUCUGAGAGGAUGUCCGGCCACACUGGAACUGAGACACGGUCCAGACACCUACGGGUGGCAGCAGUCGAGAAUCAUUCACAAUGGACGAAAGUCUGAUGGUGCGACGCCGCGUGGGGGAGGAAGGCCUUCGGGUUGUAAACCCCUGUCAUGUGGGAGCAAGACGUAAGUUUGAUAGUACCACAAGAGGAAGAGACGGCUAACUCUGUGCCAGCAGCCGCGGUAAUACAGAGGUCUCAAGCGUUGUUCGGAAUCACUGGGCGUAAAGGGUACGUAGGCGGCGCCAUAAGUCGUGCGUGAAAGGCAAGGGCUCAACCCUUGGAGUGCGCAUGAUACUGUGGUGCUAGAGCGAUGGAGAGGGAACUGGAAUUCUUGGUGUAGCAGUG